RNAcentral lists this ribosomal RNA (404 nucleotides) under uncultured bacterium. RNAcentral's name for it is "bacterial SSU rRNA". It matches the Rfam family "Bacterial small subunit ribosomal RNA", at positions 355 to 776 of the family's 1533-position model. The record is from RNAcentral.
UGAGGAAUAUUGGACAAUGGGCGAAAGCCUGAUCCAGCAAUACCGCGUGAGUGAAGAAGGCCUUAGGGUUGUAAAGCUCUUUCAGCAGGGAAAAUAAUGAUGGUACCUGCAAAAGAAGUUCCGGCUAACUCCGUGCCAGCAGCCGCGGUAAUACGGAGGGAACUAGCGUUGUUCGGAUUUACUGGGCGUAAAGAGCGCGUAGGCGGGUUAUUAAGUUAGAAGUGAAAGCCCAGGGCUCAACCCUGGAACUGCUUCUAAAACUGAUAACCUAGAGUAUGGGAGGGGACAGUGGAAUUCCUAGUGUAGAGGUGAAAUUCUUAGAUAUUAGGAGGAACACCGGUGGCGAAAGCGACUGUCUGGAACAUUACUGACGCUGAGGUGCGAAAGCGUGGGGAGCAAACAGG